RNAcentral lists this transfer RNA (72 nucleotides) under Phycisphaerae bacterium. RNAcentral's name for it is "tRNA-Thr". It matches the Rfam family "tRNA". From Rfam's summary of the family: Transfer RNA (tRNA) molecules are approximately 80 nucleotides in length. Their secondary structure includes four short double-helical elements and three loops (D, anti-codon, and T loops). The record is from RNAcentral. Lineage: Bacteria; Pseudomonadati; Planctomycetota; Phycisphaerae.
GCCAGCGUAGCUCAACGGCAGAGCACGGCUUUUGUAAAGCUGAGGUUGUCGGUUCGAAUCCGACCGCUGGCU